UUUCUUGCAUGUUCAAGGCAAAAUAUCAGCUUCAGGUGAAUCUGACUAUCUGCGUGAUUGGCUUGGCCGUAUCGGUGGCCAAUGCCAUCCUACUGAAAGGCCUCGCAUUGGGGGCCCUCGGGCUUGGUGCUGGAGCCCUACUUGGUGCCAGUCUGGCCCGAGGUGGUGGAGGCGGAGGGUACGGCCAUUACGGGGCGCCCUAUCCAGUGGCAUUUCACGGCGGAUAUGGACGUGGAUUUGGAGGUGGAUAUGGAGGACACUACAGCGGAGCCUACCACGGCACAUACCACGGAAGUUACGGUGGCUACGGGGGUGGCUUUGGCCAUGGCUUUGGUCCUGGCUUCUAGUUGUCCUGAAGAACAUUGUAGUACCAAGCGAAAUGUCACACAGAUUUGGACUGCCCUCACCUACGGAAAGUUUCUACCUCAGCACCGAAAUUGCGCAGUGGAAUUGGUUCAACAAACAAAACAUUGUACAUAGUGUUCUCCUAUCUUGAACAAAUUACCUAAAUAAAAU
Long non-coding RNA from Dermacentor albipictus, 516 nucleotides. RefSeq lists it as uncharacterized. NCBI's taxonomy places the organism in Eukaryota, Metazoa, Arthropoda, Arachnida, Ixodida, Ixodidae. The record is from RefSeq and is a predicted model, not a curated record.